AUGAGUGCUGCUCCCACCGGCGCCGUGGCCGGCGAAGAAAUCGACGAGACCACCUUUCGGGCUCAGGCUGAGAUGUCUGAGAUCAUGGUGUCGCUGCCGCGCUGCCCGGUGUACCUUACCCGCCAAUACCGCGGCUUCUGGAUCCGCGAGUUCGUUCUUGAGGGCAUGGCCGCCGUUCAGGCGUCCUUCGAGCCGAUGCCAACGGACGUCUUCCUCGCCAGCUGCCCCAAGUCCGGCACCACCUGGCUCAAGGCGCUCGCCUUCGCGACGCUCAACCGCGCCACGCACUCGCCGUCCGACUCCGACCACCCGCUCCGCCAUCACAACCCGCACGACUGCGUCGCCUUCCUCGAGACCAGGCCCGUACCCGAGACCAUGGCGCUCCCUUCACCCCGGCUGCUUGCAACCCACUUGCCCUACUCCCUGCUGCCCAGACGCAUAACGGAAUGCGGUCGGGUCGUCUACGUCUGCCGGGAGCCCAAGGACGCUAUGGUCUCCUUCUGGAUCUACAACAACAAGAUCGCGGCGGUGCUGCACCGGCAGCUCGGCCUGGAGUCCCCCUCGCCGACGUUCGAGGACGCGUUCGAGCUCUUCUGUAGGGGGCAGAGCAGCUCCGGACCGCACUGGCGCCACGCCCUAGAGUACUGGGAGGAGAGCCAGAGGAGGCCCGGGAAGGUGCUCUUCCUCAAGUACGAGGACAUGCUGCAAGACCUAAUCGGGAACGCGAUGAAUCGUUCAUGGGUGCCCAUUUUCAGGCGCCGAGGAGGAGGCUGGGGUGGUGCAGGAGAUCGUGCAGCUCUGCAGCUUCAAGGAACUCAAGAGCUCUGA
RNAcentral lists this ribosomal RNA (828 nucleotides) under Triticum aestivum (bread wheat). Its description in RNAcentral is "partial small subunit ribosomal RNA". The record is from RNAcentral. Lineage: Eukaryota; Viridiplantae; Streptophyta; Magnoliopsida; Poales; Poaceae.